UACCCAGCAACUCCUAUCCCUACCUCCACGCGGUACCGGCCGGAAACUAUGAGCAACCUUAGGGAAGA
Non-coding RNA from Aedes albopictus (Asian tiger mosquito), 68 nucleotides. The record is from Rfam. NCBI's taxonomy places the organism in Eukaryota, Metazoa, Arthropoda, Insecta, Diptera, Culicidae.